Molecule: ribosomal RNA, 403 nt
Filed under: bacterium
Lineage: Bacteria
Description: partial 16S ribosomal RNA
Rfam family: Bacterial small subunit ribosomal RNA
Source: RNAcentral
UGGGGAAUAUUGCACAAUGGAGGGAACUCUGAUGCAGCGACGCCGCGUGAACGAAGAAGGCUUUCGAGUCGUAAAGUUCUUUUAUAUGGGAAGAUAAUGACGGUACCAUAAGAAGAAGCCCCGGCUAACUACGUGCCAGCAGCCGCGGUAAUACGUAGGGGGCUAGCGUUGACCGGAAUCACUGGGCGUAAAGGGUUCGCAGGCGGAAAUGCAAGUCAGGUGUAAAAGGCAGUAGCUUAACUACUGUAAGCAUUUGAAACUGCAUAUCUUGAGAAGAGUAGAGGUAAGUUGAAUUUUUAGUGUAGCGGUGAAAUGCGUAGAUAUUAAAAAGAAUACCGGUGGCGAAGGCGACUUACUGGGCUCAUUCUGACGCUGAGGAACGAAAGCGUGGGUAGCAAACAGG